CACUCUUAAAAGAUAAAAUUAGAUUAAUAGGGCCUAUUCUCUCUGUAGAUGUGGCACAUGCACAUAAACCGGAUCCUUAGCCCUAUAUUUCUUGAAACGAUGAAUAGACCCAGCUCCAAGUAGGACUAUCUUAAAAUCACAAAUCGGGACAGAUCGAGAUGCGGGACUAACGUCUAUCGAACUCCGGCUUAACUGCUUUCAGAUCUGGAGGAUACCCUUACAAGUCAUCGGUUAAAGCGUAUAGAACCGACAUUAGCUGUUAUCUGGGAAACAAGGGUGUCUAUCUCGCCAUGUGACGUCACAUUGUCCAGAAACAUCAUCUGUCGGAACAGACGUUAAGUUGGGAGGAUGCUUCACUUGACGAGGGGAUUAAAAGGCUAGAACGGUGUAAAAACCUGUAAAAUUGUUCGCCAUAUUAAGAAUGUCUAUGGUUAUCUAUAAAGCUCAAAUAAGAAUUUCAAUUAAAAAAAUUAAUGACAUUAAAUGAAAAAUGCAUUAAGAUAAUUAAAUAUAUGUACUUUAUAUUUAUUAUCCUAACAUCGACUUAUUUAAACAGGAAAGUAGGCCUGUGUGUUUAUAAAAAUCAUGCAAAUUAUUAGUUGCAUUAGCAGUUUUUAAGGAUAUACACCUCUUUUUUUCUUCCCCUUAGAAGAUUUAUCCCGCGGCUAUUAUUCGAAGUCAUAGUUCUUAAUUGAUGGACUGGCCAAAGAAUCAUUAAUUUCAAUUAUGCC
Centruroides sculpturatus (bark scorpion) is the source of this 731-nucleotide long non-coding RNA. RefSeq lists it as uncharacterized. The transcript has 3 exons. Lineage: Eukaryota; Metazoa; Arthropoda; Arachnida; Scorpiones; Buthidae. The record is from RefSeq and is a predicted model, not a curated record.